Molecule: unclassified non-coding RNA, 187 nt
Filed under: uncultured Ascomycota
Lineage: Eukaryota; Fungi; Ascomycota
Description: sequence contains ITS1
Source: RNAcentral
GAGAGUUUUUUACAACUCCCAAACCCCCUGUGAACCUACCUCGCGUUGCCUCGGCAGGUCGCGCCUCACCUCCGUAGCACCUUACGCCUGUAAGGUGCCUACCCGGUGGGCGCGGGUAAGCCUUGCCGGCGGCCCACGAAAACUCUGUUUUUGUACUGGAUUUCUGAACUGAUAACUAAAUACGUUA